GUCCGGCUGAUGAGUCCAGAAUAGGACGAAACGCGUCCUGGAU
RNAcentral lists this non-coding RNA (43 nucleotides) under Schistosoma margrebowiei. The record is from RNAcentral. Lineage: Eukaryota; Metazoa; Platyhelminthes; Trematoda; Strigeidida; Schistosomatidae.